Molecule: ribosomal RNA, 491 nt
Filed under: uncultured bacterium
Lineage: Bacteria
Description: partial 16S ribosomal RNA
Rfam family: Bacterial small subunit ribosomal RNA
Source: RNAcentral
GUGCACGCUGGCGGUAGGCCUAACACCUGCAAGUCGAACGGCAGCACAGUAAGAGCUUGCUCUUACGGGUGGCGAGUGGCGGACGGGUGAGGAAUACAUCGGAAUCUACUUUUUCGUGGGGGAUAACGUAGGGAAACUUACGCUAAUACCGCAUACGACCUACGGGUGAAAGCAGGGGAUCUUCGGACCUUGCGCGAUAGAAUGAGCCGAUGUCGGAUUAGCUAGUUGGCGGGGUAAAGGCCCACCAAGGCGACGAUCCGUAGCUGGUCUGAGAGGAUGAUCAGCCACACUGGAACUGAGACACGGUCCAGACUCCUACGGGAGGCAGCAGUGGGGAAUAUUGGACAAUGGGCGCAAGCCUGAUCCAGCCAUACCGCGUGGGUGAAGAAGGCCUUCGGGUUGUAAAGCCCUUUUGUUGGGAAAGAAAAGCAGCAGGUUAAUACCCCGCUGUUCCGACGGUACCCAAAGAAUAAGCACCGGCUAACUUCGUG